AACAUCGCCCUUUGAAAAAAUAAUUAUAAAGGGUACUGCCUGCCCAGUGAUAAAAAUUAAACGGCCGCGGUACUUUGACCGUGCAAAGGUAGCAUAAUCAUUUGUUCUUUAAUUGAGGACUAGUAUGAAAGGCAAAACGAAAGCUUAACUGUCUCCUUUUUAAAAAAUAAAAUUAAUAUUUUUGUGAAGAAGCAAAAAUAAUAAAGUAAGACGAGAAGACCCUGUCGAGCUUAAGAAAAUUUUUAUAAUAAAAUUUUUUAAAGAUAAACAAAUUUUACUACAAAAAUAAAAUAAAAAUAUCUUUGGUUGGGGCAACCACGAAGAAAAAAAAACCUUCGUUCAAAAAAAGAAAUUUACAAAUUUAAAAAUUAUUUAAAAUUCAAAAGAUCCAGAAAAUUCUGAUCAUAGAAAAAAGUUACCGCAGGGAUAACAGCGUUAUUCUCUUUAAGAGCUCUUAUUGACAAGAGAGUUUGCGACCUCGAUGUUGGACCGGGGCACCCAAGAGGUGUAGAAGCCUCUAAAGGUAGGUCUGUUCGACCUUUAAAGCCCUACGUGAU
This 557-nucleotide ribosomal RNA is filed under the name Dichrometra brachypecha. RNAcentral describes it as "partial large subunit ribosomal RNA". It matches the Rfam family "Bacterial large subunit ribosomal RNA", at positions 1812 to 2604 of the family's 2925-position model. Lineage: Eukaryota; Metazoa; Echinodermata; Crinoidea; Comatulida; Mariametridae. The record is from RNAcentral.